UUUGUUUUGUUCAUUAUACAGAGUGAUAGUAUUGCUUGGAAUAUACCAGUAAAUUAAUUUCAGACUACAUUUAUGUUCUUUUUAGAGCUUUCAAGUUUUGGACCCCACUGACUUUCAUAAUAUGGACAAAAACAGCUGAAAUAGUCUUCAAAAUAUCUUCCUUUGUGUCAUAAGAGUUUGGAACAACAUGAUGGUGAGUAAAUGAUGACAAGUCAGUGCUUGUCAGGAAACAACAGAUAAUCUAACAUUAAUCCUAUGAAAACCCACUUAAGGUCAAGGUGAGGGCUCUUUAAGAGGUCAGAAUGAAUUAUAAAACCGUCUGAAUCUUCCCUCAAGAGUGCAGAGCCCUCUGUAUUCGGAGACAGUGAGGAAAAGCCGCGGCUGAGGACGGCAGGGACUCCUGACAGCUGUGUGCAGCGGGUGGUGACAUUUAAAGUCCAGCUGAUGUCACCGUCUGCCUCAGGGUGGGAUGAAUGCCUUCAUGAGACUAUCGCUUCAGGCGUGAAGAGAUGCCCACAACACCUCAAAGUCCAGUUAGAUGGAAACUUUACUUUUAGUAAUGAAGGCAUAUAAUUACACCAGCGGGGGUGAUGAUCUCGCAGCACUGAUGGAUUUCCCUGUUACCAUCCAAGCUGGAGCCUGCAAGCAGCCGAAUGACUAAAGAGGAUUCAUCAUUAGGGGUGCUGAUCCCAGCACAGCAUAGAAGACCAACCACUAGCAGGAAGCAGAGUAGAUAAAUGAAGAAGGAUUCAUGUUUUCCAGGUGAGGUGAAUCCUGCUUGUUUACUGCUUAUAAUUAAUA
Long non-coding RNA from Megalobrama amblycephala (Wuchang bream), 801 nucleotides. RefSeq lists it as uncharacterized. Lineage: Eukaryota; Metazoa; Chordata; Actinopteri; Cypriniformes; Xenocyprididae. The record is from RefSeq and is a predicted model, not a curated record. The transcript has 3 exons.